GGCGCUUCCGGUCGGACUGUGCCGAAAGUUCUGAUGAUAAGACCAGAAGGGGGAAACCGCGGAAGUCAUAUGCGAGGCAACGGGUCUGUCGCAAAGGUGUGCCGGCAGAUUUGUC
Molecule: non-coding RNA, 115 nt
Organism: Enterobacter cloacae S611
Lineage: Bacteria; Pseudomonadati; Pseudomonadota; Gammaproteobacteria; Enterobacterales; Enterobacteriaceae
Source: Rfam